Quercus robur (English oak) is the source of this 654-nucleotide long non-coding RNA. RefSeq lists it as uncharacterized. The transcript is spliced from 3 exons. Lineage: Eukaryota; Viridiplantae; Streptophyta; Magnoliopsida; Fagales; Fagaceae. The record is from RefSeq and is a predicted model, not a curated record.
CUGGCCGUGAAUACUUCACACCCCCUCUUUCUUUCUUUCUUUGAGGAGUAGUCUCUCCGCUCUAUAAUAUGAAAUGGAGAGGUCCAAAUCAUAUAAAUGCAUCUCACGCAUCACUCGGAUCCUCAAUCUGCUUCCUUCCUUCUCCUCCUCCUCACACGGUUUACAGGUUUUGCACAACGUCCCUCGCUCUUCCUAAUUCCUAUACUUUGACAAUUCUAGGCAAUCGUCUCCUCCUAUGGCAAGCUUGCGUUUGAGCGUUAAAGAUGUUACGGAAAUCGUGACCCUCCUGAUUCUUAUUCUUAAACUCAUUGCUGAACUCCGCGAGUGUAUAAGAUAUUUCAGAAGAGGUGGUUGGCAGCAAGACGGCGGUGACGGCACUACCAACAACAAAAUGGAUUAGUGCAGUGGACUCUCUCAAUGAAAUAAUUUGGUGACUGUUGGAGGUGUGAUCUAAAGACUGCAUGUGUUUCCCUAUGGCUUCAUCUUGUGUGUGUAUAUUGUAUGGUUUGUAUUGUGGUUUUGUUGUGUUGAAUAAAAUUUGAUAUGUGAGAUUGGCAACCCUGCUUCUUGUUUUGUAACAUGUUGACUUGAAAAACUUUGUAAUUUUCUGGAGUGUGUGGCUUAAGUCUUAAUAAAAGAAACUUUUUUAUCAUU